GCCGAGGUGGUGGAACUGGUAGACACGCUGUCUUGAGGUGGCAGUGGCGAAUGCUGUGCGGGUUCGAGUCCCGCCCUCGGCACCA
RNAcentral lists this transfer RNA (85 nucleotides) under Desulfovibrio desulfuricans. RNAcentral describes it as "tRNA-Leu". It matches the Rfam family "tRNA". From Rfam's summary of the family: Transfer RNA (tRNA) molecules are approximately 80 nucleotides in length. Their secondary structure includes four short double-helical elements and three loops (D, anti-codon, and T loops). RNAcentral also lists the same sequence under 2 other names. Lineage: Bacteria; Pseudomonadati; Thermodesulfobacteriota; Desulfovibrionia; Desulfovibrionales; Desulfovibrionaceae. The record is from RNAcentral.